UCAGACACUUUUAAAACUGAAGGGAGGACAAGGAGGAAGAUGAGAUAGUGGAAGAAGGAGGAGAACUCACUUCUCUUUGAUUUUUCUUUCACCUAAAACCCUAGAUCUGAUCUAGGUUUCUCACCCAAGAGGAGAAGGAUCUCCUCUAUGUACAUAUGCCAAAAUAGGCCGUCCCACUCCAAACCUCAUGCCCAAGGAAACCCUAACUCACAGCACAAUCUGAUCUUUUUUUUUUUGUACAAAAUGGAGGGGUUUUUAUAGAUGGCGUGGAGAUGAGGAUAGAGUC
This 286-nucleotide long non-coding RNA is filed under the name Elaeis guineensis (African oil palm). RNAcentral describes it as "long non-coding RNA (EGUI_LNC078427)". Lineage: Eukaryota; Viridiplantae; Streptophyta; Magnoliopsida; Arecales; Arecaceae. The record is from RNAcentral.